UACGUAGGGUGCGAGCGUUGUCCGGAAUUACUGGGCGUAAAGAGCUCGUAGGCGGUUUGUCGCGUCGUCUGUGAAAUUCUGCAACUCAAUUGUAGGCGUGCAGGCGAUACGGGCAGACUUGAGUACUACAGGGGGAGACUGGAAUUCCUGGUGUAGCGGUGAAAUGCGCAGAUAUCAGGAGGAACACCGGUGGCGAAGGCGGGUCUCUGGGUAGUAACUGACGCUGAGGAGCGAAAGCGUGGGUAGCGAACAGG
Molecule: ribosomal RNA, 254 nt
Filed under: uncultured bacterium
Lineage: Bacteria
Description: partial 16S ribosomal RNA
Rfam family: Bacterial small subunit ribosomal RNA
Source: RNAcentral